GACAGAAUUAGAGAGAGACAGACAGAGAGACAGACAGACAGAAAGAGAGACAGACAGAGAGAGACAGACAGACAGAAUUAGAGAGAGACAGACAGAGAGACAGACAGACAGAAUUAGAGAGAGACAGACAGAGAGACAGACAGACAGAAUUAGAGGGAGACAGACAGACAGAAUUAGAGAGAGACAGACAGAGACAGACAGACAGAAGUAGAGCAAGACCGACAGAGAGACAGACAUACAGAAUUAGAGAGAGACAGACAGACAGACAGACAGACAGACAGACAGACAGACAGACAGACAGACAGACAGACAGACAGACAGACAGAAUUAGAGAGACAGACAGACAGACAUAAUUAGAGAGAGACAGACAGAGAGACAGACAGAAUUAGAGAGAGACAGACAGAGAGAGACAGACAGACAGAAUUAGAGAGAGACAGAAUUAGAGAGAGACAGACAGAGAGAGACAGACAGACAGAAUUAGAGAGAGAGAGACAGACAGACAGACAGACAGACAGACAGACAGACAGACAGACAGACAGACAGACAGACAGACAGACAGACAGACAGACAGACAGACAGACAGACAGACAGACAGACAGACAGACAGACAGAGAGAGACAGACAGACAGACAGAAUUAGAGAGAGACAGACAGAGAGACAGACAGAAUUAGAGAGAGACAGACAGACGAAAUGAGAGAACAAGAGACCCCGCGAAAUAAUGGACUAUCAAAGGGAGGAGCUGGUUCUUUCAUGUCAGGACACUUUGAUUCUGUUGCUGAUUGGUUCCAGGUGAGCCAGAGAGGAGAACCAAUAAGAGGAAAGAGAGUCUAAGCAAGAUGACAUUCCAAAACUAUUAAACUACGAUAGUAGUAGGAUUUAGAGGGUGUAGAGAUUAAAGGGGAGUAGAGAAUCCAUGAAGCUCAAAUGUUAUGUUGAGGUUGGUGGCAACAUAGCAGAGGGGGGUACGACUCUCCUUCAGGAGGUUGGGCGUUACUGGUAUAAAUCUCUUUACAAAACACCAGGCCCAAAAGGAGUAGCUUUUCAAUACGGUAUCAACUUUAGCCAUGUCUGAACAUUGUAUGUGUGUAUGUGCCUCUCUCUGGGAGAUAAUGGGAUGACAUUCACAUGAGACGUAGUCAUUUGGCAGGCAGACACUGUCAACAAGAUGCUUCCAGAGAUCCAAAGCAAUUUCAGAGAUUUCAGAGAUAUUUCCAAAGCUAUUUCAGUUCUCUGAACUGUUGAGACGGUGAUGAUGCCUUGGCCAUCCUUGGCUUAAAGUCUACAUGGGUUAAAGACUACAUGGGUUAAAUUAUACAUGGGUUAAAUUAUACAUGGGUUAAAUUAUACAUGGGUUAAAUUAUAC
Long non-coding RNA from Oncorhynchus tshawytscha (Chinook salmon), 1363 nucleotides. NCBI's taxonomy places the organism in Eukaryota, Metazoa, Chordata, Actinopteri, Salmoniformes, Salmonidae. The record is from Ensembl.